This 274-nucleotide ribosomal RNA is filed under the name uncultured bacterium. Its description in RNAcentral is "partial 16S ribosomal RNA". It matches the Rfam family "Bacterial small subunit ribosomal RNA", at positions 523 to 796 of the family's 1533-position model. The record is from RNAcentral.
AUACGGAGGGUGCGAGCGUUAAUCGGAAUUACUGGGCGUAAAGCGUACGUAGGCGGUUGGUUAAGUUAGAUGUGAAAGCCCCGGGCUUAACCUGGGAACUGCAUUUAAAACUGGCGAACUAGAGUUGAGUAGAGGGGAGUGGAAUUUCAGGUGUAGCGGUGAAAUGCGUAGAGAUCUGAAGGAACACCAGGGGCGAAGGCGACUCCCUGGACUCGAACUGACGCUGAGGUACGAAAGCGUGGGUAGCAAACGGGAUUAGAUACCCCAGUAGUCC